AUCGCUUCUUGGCCUUUUGGCUAAGAUCAAGUGUAGGAUUGCUUUUGAUUCGUUGAUUGACACUAAUUUUAAAUAGAAUUUUGUAUUUAUA
RNAcentral lists this small nuclear RNA (91 nucleotides) under Fukomys damarensis (Damara mole-rat). Its description in RNAcentral is "U2 spliceosomal RNA". It matches the Rfam family "U2 spliceosomal RNA", at positions 1 to 114 of the family's 192-position model. Rfam says of the family: U2 is a small nuclear RNA (snRNA) component of the spliceosome (involved in pre-mRNA splicing). Complementary binding between U2 snRNA (in an area lying towards the 5' end but 3' to hairpin I) and the branchpoint sequence (BPS) of the intron results the bulging out of an unpaired adenosine, on the BPS, which initiates a nucleophilic attack at the intronic 5' splice site, thus starting the first of two transesterification reactions that mediate splicing. The record is from Rfam by way of RNAcentral. Lineage: Eukaryota; Metazoa; Chordata; Mammalia; Rodentia; Bathyergidae.